This 443-nucleotide ribosomal RNA is filed under the name Streptococcus mutans. Its description in RNAcentral is "bacterial SSU rRNA". It matches the Rfam family "Bacterial small subunit ribosomal RNA", at positions 28 to 453 of the family's 1533-position model. Lineage: Bacteria; Bacillati; Bacillota; Bacilli; Lactobacillales; Streptococcaceae. The record is from RNAcentral.
GACGAACGCUGGCGGCGUGCCUAAUACAUGCAAGUGGGACGCAAGAGGACACACUGUGCUUGCACACCGUGUUUUCUUGAGUCGCGAACGGGUGAGUAACGCGUAGGUAACCUGCCUAUUAGCGGGGGAUAACUAUUGGAAACGAUAGCUAAUACCGCAUAAUAUUAAUUAUUGCAUGAUAAUUGAUUGAAAGAUGCAAGCGCAUCACUAGUAGAUGGACCUGCGUUGUAUUAGCUAGUUGGUAAGGUAAGAGCUUACCAAGGCGACGAUACAUAGCCGACCUGAGAGGGUGAUCGGCCACACUGGGACUGAGACACGGCCCAGACUCCUACGGGAGGCAGCAGUAGGGAAUCUUCGGCAAUGGACGAAAGUCUGACCGAGCAACGCCGCGUGAGUGAAGAAGGUUUUCGGAUCGUAAAGCUCUGUUGUAAGUCAAGAACGUG